This is a long non-coding RNA of Harpia harpyja (harpy eagle), 2442 nucleotides long. RefSeq lists it as uncharacterized. Lineage: Eukaryota; Metazoa; Chordata; Aves; Accipitriformes; Accipitridae. The record is from RefSeq and is a predicted model, not a curated record. The transcript has 2 exons.
GGUUGUUGAAAGACAUCAGAAUUCACUCUGGGCUAGAGGAUGUGCGAUGGGUGGUCUGUAACUCUUGGCUGACUGGCAGACUGACAGUAAUAUUGCUCUGCAAUAACAGUCACAGGCUGGCCAUGGGCGACACUGACUGUUCUCGGGUUCCUGUACUGCUAUUCUCACGUUGGAAUUGAAUGGGAGCAAACGUAUGCUGUGAAUUAGGAAUGACACAAAAACAAUGAUUUUUAAGACAGGUUGAUGGCUUUUCUACACUGGAUAUCCUAUCUGCAGAAGGAUGGGCUAGACCCAGUCUUUGGCCAGUGUGUUAAAACCAAAAGCUCAUUUAAUGGAUUCUGGAUUGUGAAUGCAGGAAUUGAACCAGAAACACUGAUGGGCUGUGGCUGAGGGUGGGGAGAAAUUAUGGAAGCAUUUUUUAUUAUGUUAUUUUUGUAAAACAGUAUCUCUGUGACUCUAUGUACAUUGGAAGCAUCUCAGAAUAGGUAUUUUAUAUAUGUUGAAGAUUGGUUUUGUUUCUUCCAAUGUUUUCCUGCCUAUUUUGAGAUAUUGAACAAAAAAAAGUUUUCCUACCUUGCAGAAUUCAAAAAGCCUGAUCUCUCACAGCCUCUGUCCAGGGGCAUACAGGGCUGUGCCCUGCACUUUAGGAAGGGCAUGAUGCUCAUCAGUUCUUCUUGAUUGCUUUCUGAUACAAGUUAGAACAUUUUUGCUACUCUCACUGACUGCAGUAGUUCAGCCUGAAGCUACUUUUCUACCUACUGUAGCAAAGUCUGCUUUUUCUCUUUAAUGUCUUCAUUUAAAACUUCACCUUUAAAACACUGGCCUUUUUUGGUAGUCUUAGGAAUGGUUUUAUUUGUUUCUUUAAAAACAGGGAGUAGGGAGGCAGGUCUUUUCUUAAGGAACAGCUUUUCUUUUUAAUCAAAUAUGACCUCACAGCCCCUUGGGCUUUAAGUGGUCUCUGCCUUGUGUUAGAGCUAAAGCAUAUAAUACUAAUUUUAUUACGGGGCAAAUCCCACCUUCAAGGGAACUGUUCAGUCUGCCUCCUGCAUUUUUCUGUUAUGAAGGGAGAUAACCCAGGUCUGGCUGAAUGGUAAAUCUGUUCAGUUCACUUCAUUCUCUGGUGUCCAGGCAAUCAGCUCCUGCAAUAUUAGUCACCCUAGGAGUAGCAUUUUAAGAACUUUAAAAAAAACCAGAAUGGUCCAAUACAGUGGCACCAAAUUAGCCUGAGCUCCAUGUCCUGUGCCCACAGCCAGACCUGUUACAGCAGCACCUUUGCCAAAAGACUAGGUUGCCCAGAGCUGGGAACAUCCUGCCUGCCUGCAAGCAUCAGGGCUGUGGGAGCGGUUCAGCACAUGCCGUUUUCUGAGGGAAGGGGAGACCCUACUCCUGGCUGGCACAAGGGGUGUCUCCCAAGCUGUUAUUUUUUAAACUGAUAUUGAAGAGCAGCCAGGAGACCUUCAGUCUUUCUAAAGUUAGACAUUCCCCCUAGGCCUGGCAAAAGGCCACCAGUCCUGGAGAGGGCUUCUUCCAAGAGCAGUCUCCUGUACCCAAAGAAGAAGGACUCCUGUCAAAACUUGUUCUGUGCCCCCUGGCAGCCAUUCCAGCCUGUUGGGACGCACAGUUAGCAUCCUACCAUCCAUCACUCCUGCAGCUUCAGCCAAGUCUGAUAUAGUUUAUCCCUUCAAAAAGAAAUUCAGUCCCUGAGACAGGCUUCAGCUUAGUGCCUGCAUUUCUGAUGUCUCUGCUGCUCAGAACUCUGGCAGCCGCCUUUUUCCCCUUCAUUUAUUCCUGAAGAAAUAAGGGCAGAGGCUUCAGCUCUCUACCCAUCCAGAGACGAAGCCCAUCUCUUGCCUUUUCAAAGCAGAAGCUCCAGCCCUUUAUGUUUAGGGAAAGAUUCCCCCACCCCCUGUGAGAAAGCUGUGAUUUCCCCUAGAAGUCAUUUGUAGGAGAUACCAUGGACUGUUGAAAAUAAGACUUACCUUGAAUGCUGCCUGGCCAGAGACAUGGCCCUCCUGAUUGACUUACUAUGAUUGAAGGAAUCCUCUCAGCCACAAAGUAUGUUGCUCUCAGCCUCUGAAUUUACUAAAAGGAUCUGAGACUGGCCUUUCAUUUUGGAGUAGAACUGAGCUAAGGGCAAGAACUUUCUCAAACUUAACUGUAACGUUGUAAUUAAGUGGAAUUAGCAUUGGAGCAAAAAGUCAUGAGUCUGUUCUUCAGUCUUAUCGAUUACUGUUAUUACAUGAAAAAAGGGGCUACUAAAGUGAUUAGAUUCCAAUUUGUAUGCAUGCAAAACUUCCUACUCCAAUAUGGAAAUGACCUUGAAGGUCAUCUAGAGUAUGCUUAUUUCUGAACUAAAAUUGUUUUAUAUUUUUUUUCAGUGCUUUAUACAUCUUUCAUAGUUUUGUAUCCUUUUCUGUUUCUAUAAAUAAAGCUACAACUGAC